RNAcentral lists this ribosomal RNA (270 nucleotides) under uncultured Lachnospiraceae bacterium. RNAcentral describes it as "partial 16S ribosomal RNA". It matches the Rfam family "Bacterial small subunit ribosomal RNA", at positions 75 to 339 of the family's 1533-position model. Lineage: Bacteria; Bacillati; Bacillota; Clostridia; Lachnospirales; Lachnospiraceae. The record is from RNAcentral.
UUCGGAAAUGAAGAUUUUGUGACUGAGUGGCGGACGGGUGAGUAACGCGUGGGUAACCUGCCUCAUACAGGGGGAUAACAGUUAGAAAUGACUGCUAAUACCGCAUAAGCGCACGGAAUCGCAUGAUUCAGUGUGAAAAGCCGAGACGGUAUGAGAUGGACCCGCGUCUGAUUAGGUAGUUGGUGAGGUAACGGCUCACCAAGCCGACGAUCAGUAGCCGACCUGAGAGGGUGACCGGCCACAUUGGGACUGAGACACGGCCCAAACUCC